UACGGAGGAUUCGAGCGUUAUCCGGAUUUAUUGGGUUUAAAGGGAGCGUAGGCGGGUUGUCAAGUCAGUUGUGAAAUGUAGUCGCUCAACGUCUGCACUGCAAUUGAAACUGGCGACCUUGAGUGCGUAAGAGGCAGGCGGAAUUCGUCGUGUAGCGGUGAAAUGCUUAGAUAUGACGAAGAACUCCGAUUGCGAAGGCAGCUUGCUAGUCCGUAACUGACGCUGAAGCUCGAAGGUGCGGGUAUCGAACAGG
This 253-nucleotide ribosomal RNA is filed under the name uncultured Bacteroidaceae bacterium. RNAcentral's name for it is "partial 16S ribosomal RNA". It matches the Rfam family "Bacterial small subunit ribosomal RNA", at positions 524 to 776 of the family's 1533-position model. The record is from RNAcentral. Lineage: Bacteria; Pseudomonadati; Bacteroidota; Bacteroidia; Bacteroidales; Bacteroidaceae.